GUGGGGAAUAUUGGACAAUGGGCGAAAGCCUGAUCCAGCCAUGCCGCGUGUGUGAAGAAGGUCUUCGGAUUGUAAAGCACUUUAAGUUGGGAGGAAGGGCAGUAAGUUAAUACCUUGCUGUUUUGACGUUACCGACAGAAUAAGCACCGGCUAACUUCGUGCCAGCAGCCGCGGUAAUACGAAGGGUGCAAGCGUUAAUCGGAAUUACUGGGCGUAAAGCGCGCGUAGGUGGUUUUGUAAGUUGGAGGUGAAAUCCCCGGGCUCAACCUGGGAACUGCCUCCAAAACUGCAUGACUAGAGUACGGUAGAGGGUAGUGGAAUUUCCUGUGUAGCGGUGAAAUGCGUAGAUAUGCGGAGGAACACCAGUGGCGAAGGCGACUACCUGGACUGAUACUGACACUGAGGUGCGAAAGCGUGGGGAGCAAACAGGAUUAGAAACCCCGGUAGUCC
RNAcentral lists this ribosomal RNA (450 nucleotides) under uncultured bacterium. RNAcentral describes it as "bacterial SSU rRNA". It matches the Rfam family "Bacterial small subunit ribosomal RNA", at positions 354 to 796 of the family's 1533-position model. The record is from RNAcentral.